GACGAACGCUGGCGGCGUGCUUAACACAUGCAAGUCGAACGGAAAGGCCUGCUUUCCCUUGUGGAUUGCGGGUACUCGCGUGGCGAACGGGUGAGUAACACGUGAGUGAUCUGCCCCCAACUUGGGUAUAAGCCUGGGAAACUGGGUCUAAUUACCGAUCGGACUGCAGGGUGGUGCCUGUGGUGGAAGACGAUUUUCUAGUGGUUGGGGAUGAGCUCGCGGCCUAUCAGCUUGUUGGUGGGGAAAUGGUCUACCAAGGCGGCGACGGGUAGCCGGCCUGGGAGGGUGGGCGGGCACGUUUGGACUGAGAUACUGCCAAGGCUACUACGGGAAGCAGCAGUGGGGAGGAAUGCGCGAGGAGCGGAAGCCUGAGGCAGGGACGCCGCUGGAGGGAUGACGGCUUCCGGAUGGUGAACUCCUUGCGGCCGCGAGGAAGCCACCUGGAUGGAGGGGUGGUGACGGUAGUGGGAGAAGAAGCACCGGCUAACUACGUG
RNAcentral lists this ribosomal RNA (494 nucleotides) under uncultured bacterium. RNAcentral describes it as "partial 16S ribosomal RNA". It matches the Rfam family "Bacterial small subunit ribosomal RNA", at positions 28 to 507 of the family's 1533-position model. The record is from RNAcentral.